This 84-nucleotide transfer RNA is filed under the name Myxococcales bacterium. RNAcentral's name for it is "tRNA-Leu". It matches the Rfam family "tRNA". Rfam says of the family: Transfer RNA (tRNA) molecules are approximately 80 nucleotides in length. The record is from RNAcentral. RNAcentral also lists the same sequence under 1 other name. Lineage: Bacteria; Pseudomonadati; Myxococcota; Myxococcia; Myxococcales.
GCCGGGCUGGCGGAAUUGGCAUACGCAGGCGACUUAAAAUCGCUCGGGGGCAACCUCAUCUGGGUUCGAGUCCCAGGCCCGGCA